UACGGAGGGUGCAAGCGUUAUCCGGAUUCACUGGGUUUAAAGGGUGCGUAGGUGGGCAAGUAAGUCAGUGGUGAAAUCUCCGGGCUUAACCCGGAAACUGCCAUUGAUACUAUUUGUCUUGAAUACUGUGGAGGUCAGCGGAAUAUGUCAUGUAGCGGUGAAAUGCUUAGAUAUGACAUAGAACACCAAUUGCGAAGGCAGCUUACUACACAGUUAUUGACACUGAGGCACGAAAGCGUGGGGAUCAAACAGG
RNAcentral lists this ribosomal RNA (253 nucleotides) under uncultured bacterium. RNAcentral's name for it is "partial 16S ribosomal RNA". It matches the Rfam family "Bacterial small subunit ribosomal RNA", at positions 524 to 776 of the family's 1533-position model. The record is from RNAcentral.